GAUGAACGCUGGCGGCGUGCCUAAUACAUGCAAGUCGAGCGAACAGACGAGGAGCUUGCUCCUCUGACGUUAGCGGCGGACGGGUGAGUAACACGUGGAUAACCUACCUAUAAGACUGGGAUAACUUCGGGAAACCGGAGCUAAUACCGGAUAAUAUAUUGAACCGCAUGGUUCAAUAGUGAAAGACGGUUUUGCUGUCACUUAUAGAUGGAUCCGCGCUGCAUUAGCUAGUUGGUAAGGUAACGGCUUACCAAGGCAACGAUGCGUAGCCGACCUGAGAGGGUGAUCGGCCACACUGGAACUGAGACACGGUCCAGACUCCUACGGGAGGCAGCAGUAGGGAAUCUUCCGCAAUGGGCGAAAGCUUGACGGAGCAACGCCGCGUGAGUGAUGAAGGUCUUCGGAUCGUAAAGCUCUGUUAUUAGGGAAGAACAAAUGUGUAAGUAACUAUGCACGUCUUGACGGUACCUAAUCAGAAAGCCACGGCUAACUACGUG
Molecule: ribosomal RNA, 497 nt
Filed under: uncultured bacterium
Lineage: Bacteria
Description: partial 16S ribosomal RNA
Rfam family: Bacterial small subunit ribosomal RNA
Source: RNAcentral